RNAcentral lists this ribosomal RNA (445 nucleotides) under uncultured organism. RNAcentral's name for it is "partial 16S ribosomal RNA". It matches the Rfam family "Bacterial small subunit ribosomal RNA", at positions 334 to 796 of the family's 1533-position model. The record is from RNAcentral.
CACUCCUGCGGGAGGCAGCAGUGGGGAAUAUUGGACCAUGGGCGCAAGCCUGAUCCAGCCAUGCCGCGUGAGUGAUGAAGGCCCUAGGGUUGUAAAGCUCUUUCACCGGUGAAGAUAAUGACGGUAACCGGAGAAGAAGCCCCGGCUAACUUCGUGCCAGCAGCCGCGGUAAUACGAAGGGGGCUAGCGUUGUUCGGAUUUACUGGGCGUAAAGCGCACGUAGGCGGACUAUUAAGUCAGGGGUGAAAUCCCGGGGCUCAACCCCGGAACUGCCUUUGAUACUGGUAGUCUUGAGUUCGAGAGAGGUGAGUGGAAUUCCGAGUGUAGAGGUGAAAUUCGUAGAUAUUCGGAGGAACACCAGUGGCGAAGGCGGCUCACUGGCUCGAUACUGACGCUGAGGUGCGAAAGCGUGGGGAGCAAACAGGAUUAGAUACCCGUGUAGUCC